GGAGUGGACAGGGCAAAUUCAAGGAUUUUGUUGGAGGGAUCCGUUGCCAUCCUGCACCUCCAUUACUUCCUUACGUUGAAGCCCAAUGAGUGGCUUUGUGGGGAGGUUAAUGACUUCUACCUCCAACUGAAGCAGAUUGACCUUCAAGUGGAGAGGGAUGUUUUUUCUUGUGGAUCACCUGCUGGCAGGGAAUAUCCUGCAUGGGGAUAAGGUGAUGAUGCGCAAGAAUACCUUGUCAAAGGUACCUUUGUCACCUUGUCAAAGUAUGUCAAUCGCAGGACCUACUCUGCCAUUGUCCUGGACCUUACUGGUUCCCCUAAUGCGGAGCGCCAUAUGAGUGAGAAUCUAG
This is a long non-coding RNA of Oncorhynchus tshawytscha (Chinook salmon), 349 nucleotides long. NCBI's taxonomy places the organism in Eukaryota, Metazoa, Chordata, Actinopteri, Salmoniformes, Salmonidae. The record is from Ensembl.